Molecule: small nucleolar RNA, 143 nt
Organism: Diceros bicornis minor
Lineage: Eukaryota; Metazoa; Chordata; Mammalia; Perissodactyla; Rhinocerotidae
Product: small nucleolar RNA SNORA15
Exons: 1
Source: RefSeq, a predicted model, not a curated record
GCAUGGCCGAAUACUGUAUUCUUUUUAGCAGGAGUUUACACAGCCAGACACCAUGCAAAAACAAGAGCAGUCUUCCCUUUAAAGUGGUUAUGAUGGUAUGCUGUGUUUUUCAUAGCAUAUUAUUACUAACGGGAAAUAACAAA